UGGGGAAUAUUGGACAAUGGGCGAAAGCCUGAUCCAGCCAUGCCGCGUGUGUGAAGAAGGUCUUCGGAUUGUAAAGCACUUUAAGUUGGGAGGAAGGGCAUUAACCUAAUACGUUAGUGUUUUGACGUUACCAACAGAAUAAGCACCGGCUAACUCUGUGCCAGCAGCCGCGGUAAUACAGAGGGUGCAAGCGUUAAUCGGAAUUACUGGGCGUAAAGCGCGCGUAGGUGGUUUGUUAAGUUGGAUGUGAAAUCCCCGGGCUCAACCUGGGAACUGCAUUCAAAACUGACUGACUAGAGUAUGGUAGAGGGUGGUGGAAUUUCCUGUGUAGCGGUGAAAUGCGUAGAUAUAGGAAGGAACACCAGUGGCGAAGGCGACCACCUGGACUAAUACUGACACUGAGGUGCGAAAGCGUGGGGAGCAAACA
This 427-nucleotide ribosomal RNA is filed under the name uncultured bacterium. Its description in RNAcentral is "partial 16S ribosomal RNA". It matches the Rfam family "Bacterial small subunit ribosomal RNA", at positions 355 to 774 of the family's 1533-position model. The record is from RNAcentral.